Molecule: non-coding RNA, 744 nt
Organism: Marmota monax (woodchuck)
Lineage: Eukaryota; Metazoa; Chordata; Mammalia; Rodentia; Sciuridae
Source: the annotation of a RefSeq genome assembly
CAAAUGCCCUCUGGGCUGUGGGAGCUCCCAGCUCUGUGCUCAGACAGGGCUGAGGUCUCUGGGAAGGCAGGUGUGGACUAGAAGAUGAGGCUGCUGGGUCUUGUCCUGUGCUUGGUCACAGCUCCCCGAGGUGUCCUGUGCCAGUUGCAGCUGCAGGAGUCAGGACCUGGCCUGGUGAAGCCCUCACAGACCCUGUCCCUCACCUGUGCUGUCUCUGGUUACUCCAUCACCAGUGGUUAUUGCUGGCACUGGAUCCGUCAGCCCCAAGGGAAGGGGCUGGAGUACAUAGGGUACAUAUGUUAUAAUGGUAACACUAACUACAGCCCAUCCCUCAAGAGCCGAGUGUCCAUCUCCAGAGACACGUCCAAGAACCAGUUCUCCCUGCAGCUGAGCUCCCUGACCACUGAGGACACGGCCACCUAUUACUGUGCCAGAGACACAGUGAGGGGACCUCAGUGUGAGCCCAGACACAAACCUCCUGCAAGGUGCCCAGGGCCAGCAGGGGGCACUCAGCACACAGGAGCUCAGGUCAGCCAGGGGCACGUGCAGAGGAGGAGAGAACUUGACCCCAUUCCUGAGCCUCCUCACCAGCCAGCUCCUCCUGAGGGCACCAGCUAUGGGGGUCCUAGAGAAGCCUCCUCCCCUUGGACACCACUCAUUUCUCUCCAGGUGAGGUGUGUCAGGAGUGCUCUUUUUCAGCAGUGGAUGCACAGUCUCCUCUUUAGCUGAGGCUUUCUGUGCAAU